ACCUUUGGGUGGGGAAUAACUUAGGGAAACUUAAGCUAAUACCGCAUAAUGCAGCGGCUCCUUCGGGAGAAGUUGUUAAAGAUUUAUCGCCUAAAGAGCAGCCUGCGGCAGAUUAGCUAGUUGGUAAGGUAACGGCUUACCAAGGCUACGAUCUGUAUCCGACCUGAGAGGGUGGUCGGACACACUGACACUGAAUAACGGGUCAGACUCCUACGGGAGGCAGCAGUCGGGAAUUUUGGGCAAUGGGCGAAAGCCUGACCCAGCAACGCCGCGUGAAGGAUGAAGUCUUUCGGGAUGUAAACUUCGUAAGAAUAGGAAGAAUAAAUGACGGUACUAUUUGUAAGGUCCGGCUAACUACGUGCCAGCAGCCGCGGUAAUACGUAGGGACCAAGCGUUGUUCGGAUUUACUGGGCGUAAAGGGCGCGUAGGCGGCAAUUCAAGUCAGUUGUGAAAUCUCCGAGCUUAACUCGGAACGGUCAACUGAUACUGCUUUGCUAGAGUACAGAAGGGGCAAUCGGAAUUCUUGGUGUAGCGGUGAAAUGCGUAGAUAUCAAGAGGAACACCUGAGGUGAAGACGG
Molecule: ribosomal RNA, 578 nt
Filed under: uncultured Acidobacteriota bacterium
Lineage: Bacteria; Pseudomonadati; Acidobacteriota
Description: bacterial SSU rRNA
Rfam family: Bacterial small subunit ribosomal RNA
Source: RNAcentral